This is a non-coding RNA of Podarcis lilfordi (Lilford's wall lizard), 71 nucleotides long. The record is from the annotation of a GenBank genome assembly. NCBI's taxonomy places the organism in Eukaryota, Metazoa, Chordata, Lepidosauria, Squamata, Lacertidae.
GGGCCAUGGCUCAGUGGUAGAGCAUCUGCUUUGUAUGCAAAAAGUCCCUGGUUCAAUUCCCGGAAUCUCCA